ACGAACGCUGGCGGCGUGCUUAACACAUGCAAGUCGAACGGGUCUGCCCUGUUUUUUGCGGGGUGGGUCAGUGGCGAACGGGUGAGUAACACGUGAGUAACCUGCCCCUCACUUCUGGAUAACCGCUUGAAAGGGUGGCUAAUACGGGGUGUUCUGGCUGUGCCGCAUGGUGUGGCUGGGAAAGAUUCACUUUUGUGGUGUUUUGGUGGGGGAUGGGCUCGCGGCCUAUCAGCUUGUUGGUGGGGUGAUGGCCUGCCAAGGCUUUGACGGGUAGCCGGCCUGAGAGGGUGGGCGGUCACACUGGGACUGAGAUACGGCCCAGACUCCUGCGGGAGGCAGCAGUGGGGGGUAUUGCACAAUGGGCGGAAGCCUGAUGCAGCGGCGUCGCGUGAGGGAUGGAGGCCUUCGGGUUGUGAACCUCUUUCGCCGGUGAAGAAGGUCCUGCUCUUUGUGGUGGGGUUGACGGUAGCCGGGUUAUGAAGCGCCGGCUAACUACGUG
This 499-nucleotide ribosomal RNA is filed under the name uncultured bacterium. RNAcentral describes it as "partial 16S ribosomal RNA". It matches the Rfam family "Bacterial small subunit ribosomal RNA", at positions 29 to 507 of the family's 1533-position model. The record is from RNAcentral.